RNAcentral lists this unclassified non-coding RNA (248 nucleotides) under Hevea brasiliensis (rubber tree). Lineage: Eukaryota; Viridiplantae; Streptophyta; Magnoliopsida; Malpighiales; Euphorbiaceae. The record is from RNAcentral.
UAUCGGGCCACUGGGCUCGGGGAUUGGCGCUAGCUGAUCCGUGUCGACACCUGAGCCUGGAAUGCGAGCGAGGCGGCGCGGGUCGAUCCCGAUCGUCUCAAGAGCGGCUUUGUCAUCCGGAUUCUGGACCAGAAAGACCGCGUGAUCCCGAUUGAGCAGGAACCGCAACGCGAUCGCGAUAACGACGCGAAGGAGAAGCGCCCUGGCUGUCGUCGAGGUAAACGCAUAGCCGAGGCCCGUCAUCGCAU